Molecule: ribosomal RNA, 773 nt
Filed under: uncultured Neocallimastigales
Lineage: Eukaryota; Fungi; Neocallimastigomycota; Neocallimastigomycetes; Neocallimastigales
Description: partial large subunit ribosomal RNA
Rfam family: Eukaryotic large subunit ribosomal RNA (bases 4-663)
Source: RNAcentral
GUACACGCUGUGACUAGCAUAUCAAUAAGCGGAGGAAAAGAAACUAACAAGGAUUCCCUUAGUAACGGCGAGUGAAGCGGGAAGAGCUCAAAUUUGAAAUCUUCAAGGUUUUACCUUGACGAAUUGUAGUUUAAAGAAGUGUUUUCUGUUACGAUCGUAAUAUAAGUUCUUUGGAAUAGGACAUCACGGAGGGUGAGAAUCCCGUCUAUGAUUGCGAUUUGUAGCUUUGUGAUACACUUUCAAAGAGUCGGGUUGUUUGGGAAUGCAGCCCAAAACGGGAGGUAAAUUUCUUCUAAGGCUAAAUAUUGGCGAGAGACCGAUAGCGAACAAGUACCGUGAGGGAAAGAUGAAAAGAACUUUGAAAAGAGAGUUAAAUAGUACGUGAAAUUGUCAAAAGGGUAAGCGUUUAACACCAGUGUUGUUUUCUGAAAAUCAACCUCUGUUAGCCUUAUGCAAUGUUUGUUUAGACCUAAUCAGCUAUCUUGCAUGUUCUAUUGUUUGCAGUGGUGCACUUUUCAGUUUACAGGUCAACAUCAGUUUUUUUUACCGUAAAAAAGUUAAAGAAAGGUAGCUCAUGGCUCCGGUCGUGAGUGUUAUAGUCUUUUUCCUAUGCGGUAGGAGAGACUGAGGUCUGCAGUGUAGGCUAUUUGGCUAGAUACUCAGGUGCUAUGUGAUACCAUUUCAUAAACAACUUGUUGAUUAUGUUUUGUCUAUUGCAUACUCGCUUGUACUAUCAUACCUACGCUUAGGAUGUUGACAGCAGUAUAGACUGU